UACAGAGACUGCAAGCGUUAUUCGGAUUCACUGGGCGUAAAGGGUGCGCAGGCGGCCGUGUGGUGUGAGGCGUGAAAGCCCGGAGCUCAACUCCGGAAUUGCACCUCAAACUACACGGCUAGAGCAUUGGAGAGGGUAGCGGAAUUCACGGUGUAGCAGUGAAAUGCGUAGAUAUCGUGAGGAACACCAGAGGCGAAGGCGGCUACCUGGACAAUUGCUGACGCUCAGGCACGAAAGCGUGGGGAGCAAAAGGG
This 254-nucleotide ribosomal RNA is filed under the name uncultured bacterium. RNAcentral describes it as "partial 16S ribosomal RNA". It matches the Rfam family "Bacterial small subunit ribosomal RNA", at positions 524 to 776 of the family's 1533-position model. The record is from RNAcentral.